Long non-coding RNA from Kogia breviceps (pygmy sperm whale), 627 nucleotides. RefSeq lists it as uncharacterized. The record is from RefSeq and is a predicted model, not a curated record. NCBI's taxonomy places the organism in Eukaryota, Metazoa, Chordata, Mammalia, Artiodactyla, Physeteridae.
CACUCACAUACACGUGUUCGCGCGCGCACACACACGCACACGCAUAUCCACACACAGCUCCCGGCUCCACAGCCCCCACCCACCAUGGGAGGACGAAGUCCCUGCUCCCUCACAUCCUGCUCUCUCUCCUGAUUGACUGGCUUUCUCUGCCCUUCUGAUCAGAUGGGGGAAAACAUGACAGUUCACAGCACCCAUCAUGUCCAGCCAUGUGGAAAGAAUCUCCACAUUUCCAAGAGAGGGUGAUUGGACCAAUUGGAACAGAACUGUGAGAGCAGGAAGCUUGCCAACAGCCAGGUCCCCAACCUUGUGGAGAAAGUGGUCUGGAAAAGUGAUGCUGACAUGAAGAGGAUGUUUGAGUACUUGGUUCCAGACAUCACUAAAUCCAUUUACAUCCUUGCCAUGAACCAACAGCUCCUGAUAAUACCGUCUCCCUUCCCUUUCUAAGCCUCAGUAUCCUUAUCUAUAAAAUAAUGGGGCUGCAUCCUUCCCCCUUUAUCUCUGAUGCUCUAUUUCUAUGUUCAUUAAUUUAUUCUUCCCAUCAAUUAGUCAGUCAGCAUCCCUUGUGCAUCUGUUCUGUCUCUGGCCCUAUGUUGGACACUGAGACUCUUGGUUAAGGAAUAAUUCCCA